This 29-nucleotide small RNA is filed under the name Bombyx mori (domestic silkworm). Its description in RNAcentral is "ovarian small RNA-36702". Lineage: Eukaryota; Metazoa; Arthropoda; Insecta; Lepidoptera; Bombycidae. The record is from RNAcentral.
UUAGAGGAUAUUCCAGACGUCAAGCCAUA